This 253-nucleotide ribosomal RNA is filed under the name uncultured bacterium. Its description in RNAcentral is "partial 16S ribosomal RNA". It matches the Rfam family "Bacterial small subunit ribosomal RNA", at positions 524 to 776 of the family's 1533-position model. The record is from RNAcentral.
UACAGAGGUCCCAAGCGUUGUUCGGAUUCACUGGGCGUAAAGGGUGCGUAGGCGGUCGGGUAAGUCUGAUGUGAAAUCUCACAGCUUAACUGUGAAACUGCAUUGGAUACUAUUCGACUAGAGAGUUGGAGGGGGGACUGGAAUUCUUGGUGUAGCAGUGAAAUGCGUAGAUAUCAAGAGGAACACCAGUGGCGAAGGCGAGUCCCUGGACAACUUCUGACGCUGAGGCACGAAAGCUAGGGGAGCAAACAGG